AGCCGAGUCGUCUAAUGGUAGGACAGUGGAUUCUGGUUCCAUACGUGAGGGUUCGACUCCUUCCUCGGCUG
RNAcentral lists this transfer RNA (71 nucleotides) under Candidatus Auribacterota bacterium. Its description in RNAcentral is "tRNA-Gln". It matches the Rfam family "tRNA". From Rfam's summary of the family: Transfer RNA (tRNA) molecules are approximately 80 nucleotides in length. Their secondary structure includes four short double-helical elements and three loops (D, anti-codon, and T loops). The record is from RNAcentral. RNAcentral also lists the same sequence under 1 other name. Lineage: Bacteria; Pseudomonadati; Candidatus Auribacterota.